UACUCUUCGGAGUGCGAGUAAAGUGGCGAACGGGUGAGUAACGCGUGGGUGAUCUACCCUUUGGUGGGGGAUAACCCGGGGAAACCCGGGCUAAUACCGCAUAAGCCUGAGGUGGUCGACAUUUCAGGGAAAGUUUUUGGGUGCCGAAGGAGGAGCCCGCGUCCGAUUAGCUAGUUGGUGAGGUAAGAGCUCACCAAGGCGACGAUCGGUAGCCGGUCUGAGAGGACGGACGGUCACACUGGGACUGAGACACGGCCCAGACUCCUACGGGAGGCAGCAGUGGGGAAUUUUGGGCAAUGGGCGCAAGCCUGACCCAGCAACGCCGCGUGGAGGAUGAAGGUUUUCGGAUCGUAAACUCCUGUCUAGAGGGACGAAGCAAGUGACGGUACCUCUGGAGGAAGCCCCGGCUAACUCCGUGCCAGCAGCCGCGGUAAUACGGAGGGGGCAAGCGUUGUUCGGAAUUACUGGGCGUAAAGGGCGCGUAGGCGGUUUCGGAAGUCAUGGGUGAAAGUCCUCGGCUCAACCGAGGGAUUGCCUGUGAAACCACGGGACUGGAGUGCUGGAGAGGGAAGUGGAAUUCCCAGUGUAGCGGUGAAAUGCGUAGAUAUUGGGAGGAACACCGGUGGCGAAGGCGGCUUCCUGGACAGACACUGACGCUGAGGCGCGAAAG
Molecule: ribosomal RNA, 670 nt
Filed under: uncultured Acidobacteriota bacterium
Lineage: Bacteria; Pseudomonadati; Acidobacteriota
Description: bacterial SSU rRNA
Rfam family: Bacterial small subunit ribosomal RNA
Source: RNAcentral